CCUACGGGUGGCUGCAGUGGGGAAUAUUGCACAAUGGGCGCAAGCCUGAUGCAGCCAUGCCGCGUGUAUGAAGAAGGCCUUCGGGUUGUAAAGUACUUUCAGCGGGGAGGAAGGGAGUAAAGUUAAUACCUUUGCUCAUUGACGUUACCCGCAGAAGAAGCACCGGCUAACUCCGUGCCAGCAGCCGCGGUAAUACGGAGGGUGCAAGCGUUAAUCGGAAUUACUGGGCGUAAAGCGCACGCAGGCGGUUUGUUAAGUCAGAUGUGAAAUCCCCGGGCUCAGCCUGGGAACUGCAUCUGAUACUGGCAAGCUUGAGUCUCGUAGAGGGGGGUAGGAUGGGAGGGGUGGCGGUGAAAUGGGUAGAGAUCUGGAGGAAUACCGGUGGCGAAGGCGGCACCCUGGACGAAGACUGACGCUCAGGUGCGAAAGCGGGGGGAGCAAACAGGAUUAGAUACCACUGUAGU
Molecule: ribosomal RNA, 464 nt
Filed under: uncultured Escherichia/Shigella sp.
Lineage: Bacteria; Pseudomonadati; Pseudomonadota; Gammaproteobacteria; Enterobacterales; Enterobacteriaceae
Description: bacterial SSU rRNA
Rfam family: Bacterial small subunit ribosomal RNA
Source: RNAcentral